RNAcentral lists this long non-coding RNA (329 nucleotides) under Phaseolus vulgaris (common bean). Its description in RNAcentral is "long non-coding RNA (PVUL_LNC003991)". The record is from RNAcentral. Lineage: Eukaryota; Viridiplantae; Streptophyta; Magnoliopsida; Fabales; Fabaceae.
CUGUUGAAGAAUGCUCAGUAUUGGAGACUUCAUCCGCAGAGAAGGUGCCGACUUGAUUAAUUUGAGUGUGAGGGGCAGGAUCCUCAAGGUUUUGCUGACGCAAAAUGUUUGUAAGGAAUUAGCACUGCUGUGAUGUAAGUUGAAUCCCCUUUACAUCCUGCUCUUUAGGAAAAAGCUCAGAAAAAGUGUCAGUAGUAAUCAUAUUAUUGGCUUGAGAUGUUCAAUUGGUGAAUUUGUAGCCAGGAGGGAACCCAUGCUUUUUAUAACAGGUGUCGGUAGUGUGGCCAAGACGAUUACAAAAAGUGCAGACUUUUCUAGUAAAAGAAAAC